This 127-nucleotide small RNA is filed under the name Leptospira licerasiae. Lineage: Bacteria; Pseudomonadati; Spirochaetota; Leptospiria; Leptospirales; Leptospiraceae. The record is from RNAcentral.
AAUUACGCUUUCAGGGAGGAAGUCGGGUGAAAAUCCCGCGCUGACCCGCAACUGUGAUGUCCGUCUAUACGGAAUAAGCCAGAUCUUCCCCGCGAUACUUAGACCUCGAGGUUGGGGGGUAUCGUAA